RNAcentral lists this ribosomal RNA (254 nucleotides) under uncultured bacterium. Its description in RNAcentral is "partial 16S ribosomal RNA". It matches the Rfam family "Bacterial small subunit ribosomal RNA", at positions 524 to 776 of the family's 1533-position model. The record is from RNAcentral.
UACGGGGGGUGCGAGCGUUGUCCGGAAUCACUGGGCGUAAAGGGCGCGUAGGUGGUUUGAUAAGCGUGCGGUGAAAGCUCGGAGCUCAACUCCGAGUCGGCCGUGCGAACUGGGCUCACUGGAGCAUAGUAGAGGCAGGUGGAAUUCCGGGUGUAGCGGUGGAAUGCGUAGAGAUCCGGAAGAACACCGGUGGCGAAGGCGGCCUGCUGGGCUAUGGCUGACACUGAGGCGCGACAGCGUGGGGAGCAAACAGG